UACGGAGGGUGCAAGCGUUGUUCGGAAUUACUGGGCGUAAAGGGCGUGUAGGCGGCGUGGUAAGUCAGAUGUGAAAGCCCUGGGCUUAACCCAGGAAGUGCAUUUGAAACUGCCAUGCUUGAGUAUGGGAGAGGAGAGUGGAAUUCCCAGUGUAGAGGUGAAAUUCGUAGAUAUUGGGAGGAACACCCGUGGCGAAGGCGACUCUCUGGACCAAUACUGACGCUGAGGCGCGAAAGCGUGGGGAGCAAACAGG
Molecule: ribosomal RNA, 253 nt
Filed under: uncultured bacterium
Lineage: Bacteria
Description: partial 16S ribosomal RNA
Rfam family: Bacterial small subunit ribosomal RNA
Source: RNAcentral